CCUACGGGAGGCAGCAGUGAGGAAUAUUGGUCAAUGGGCGCGAGCCUGAACCAGCCAAGUAGCGUGAAGGAUGACUGCCCUACGGGUUGUAAACUUCUUUUAAGGGGGAAGAGCAGAAGACGGUACCCCUUGAAUCAGCCACGGGUAACUACGUGCCAGCAGCCGCGGUAAGACGGAGGUGGCAAGCGUUGUCCGGAUUUUCUGGGUAUAAAGGGCGUGCAGCCGGAGAGACAAGUCAGAUGUGAAAUCCACGGGCUCAAACCGGGAACUGCGUUUGAAACUGUUUCCCUUGAGUGUCGGAGAGGUAAUCGGAAUUCCUUGUGUAGCGGUGAAAUGCGUAGAUAUAAGGAAGAACACCAGUGGCGAAGGCGGAUUACUGGGCGAUAACUGACGGUGAGGCGCGAAAGCGUGGGGAGCAAACAGGAUUAGAUACCCUGGUAGUC
RNAcentral lists this ribosomal RNA (443 nucleotides) under uncultured bacterium. RNAcentral describes it as "partial 16S ribosomal RNA". It matches the Rfam family "Bacterial small subunit ribosomal RNA", at positions 338 to 795 of the family's 1533-position model. The record is from RNAcentral.